GCGGGUGUGGCUGAGUGGCUAGGCAGCGGCCUGCAAAGCCGUCUACACGGGUUCGAGUCCCGUCACUCGCUCGA
Molecule: transfer RNA, 74 nt
Filed under: Mycolicibacterium smegmatis
Lineage: Bacteria; Bacillati; Actinomycetota; Actinomycetes; Mycobacteriales; Mycobacteriaceae
Also listed under: 1 other name
Description: tRNA-Cys
Rfam family: tRNA
About the family: Transfer RNA (tRNA) molecules are approximately 80 nucleotides in length. Their secondary structure includes four short double-helical elements and three loops (D, anti-codon, and T loops).
Source: RNAcentral